UGGGGAAUUUUUGGACAAUGGGCGAAAGCCUGAUCCAGCAAUGCCGCGUGUGUGAAGAAGGCCUUCGGGUUGUAAAGCACUUUUGUCCGGAAAGAAAUCCUUGGCUCUAAUACAGUCGGGGGAUGACGGUACCGGAAGAAUAAGCACCGGCUAACUACGUGCCAGCAGCCGCGGUAAUACGUAGGGUGCAAGCGUUAAUCGGAAUUACUGGGCGUAAAGCGUGCGCAGGCGGUUUGCUAAGACCGAUGUGAAAUCCCCGGGCUCAACCUGGGAACUGCAUUGGUGACUGGCAGGCUAGAGUAUGGCAGAGGGGGGUAGAAUUCCACGUGUAGCAGUGAAAUGCGUAGGAGAUGUGGAGGAAUACCGAUGGCGAAGGCAGCCCCCUGGGCCAAAUACUGACGCUCAUGCACGAAAAGCGUGGGGGAGCAAACAGGAUUNGAUACCCUGGGUAGUCCACGCCCUAAAACGAUGUCAACUAGUUGUUGGGGAUUCAUUUCCUUAGUAACGUAGCUAACGCGUGAAGUUGACCGCCUGGGGGAGUACGGUCGCAAGAUUAAAACUCAAAUGAAUUGACGGGGUCAU
Molecule: ribosomal RNA, 582 nt
Filed under: uncultured bacterium
Lineage: Bacteria
Description: partial 16S ribosomal RNA
Rfam family: Bacterial small subunit ribosomal RNA
Source: RNAcentral